AUUGAACGCUGGCGGCAGGCCUAACACAUGCAAGUCGAGCGGAUGAAGAGAGCUUGCUCUCUGAUUUAGCGGCGGACGGGUGAGUAAUGCCUAGGAAUCUGCCUGGUAGUGGGGGAUAACGUUCCGAAAGGAACGCUAAUACCGCGUACGUCCUACGGGAGAAAGCAGGGGACCUUCGGGCCUUGCGCUAUCAGAUGAGCCUAGGUCGGAUUAGCUAGUUGGUGAGGUAAUGGCUCACCAAGGCGACGAUCCGUAACUGGUCUGAGAGGAUGAUCAGUCACACUGGAACUGAGACACGGUCCAGACUCCUACGGGAGGCAGCAGUGGGGAAUAUUGGACAAUGGGCGAAAGCCUGAUCCAGCCAUGCCGCGUGUGUGAAGAAGGUCUUCGGAUUGUAAAGCACUUUAAGUUGGGAGGAAGGGCAUUAACCUAAUACGUUAGUGUUUUGACGUUACCAACAGAAUAAGCACCGGCUAACUUCGUGCCAGCAGCCGCGGUAA
Molecule: ribosomal RNA, 500 nt
Filed under: uncultured bacterium
Lineage: Bacteria
Description: bacterial SSU rRNA
Rfam family: Bacterial small subunit ribosomal RNA
Source: RNAcentral